RNAcentral lists this ribosomal RNA (500 nucleotides) under uncultured bacterium. RNAcentral describes it as "partial 16S ribosomal RNA". It matches the Rfam family "Bacterial small subunit ribosomal RNA", at positions 30 to 523 of the family's 1533-position model. The record is from RNAcentral.
AUUGAACGCUGGCGGCAUGCCUUACACAUGCAAGUCGAACGGCAGCACGGGAGCAAUCCUGGUGGCGAGUGGCGAACGGGUGAGUAAUAUAUCGGAACGUGCCCAGUCGUGGGGGAUAACGUAGUGAAAGCUACGCUAAUACCGCAUACGAUCUAUGGAUGAAAGCGGGGGAUCGCAAGACCUCGCGCGAUUGGAGCGGCCGAUAUCAGAUUAGGUAGUUGGUGAGGUAAAGGCUCACCAAGCCGACGAUCUGUAGCUGGUCUGAGAGGACGAGCAGCCAAACUGGGACUGGGACGCGGCGCAUACUCCUACGGGAGACAGCAGGGGGGAAUUUUGGACAAUGGGCGCAAGCCUGAUCCAGCAAUGCCGCGUGCAGGAUGAAGGCCUUCGGGUUGUAAACUGCUUUUGUACGGAACGAAACGGCGAGCUCUAAUACAGUUUGCUAAUGACGGUACCGUAAGAAUAAGCACCAGCUAACUACGUGCCAGCCGCCGCGGUAA